Molecule: long non-coding RNA, 2485 nt
Organism: Chinchilla lanigera (long-tailed chinchilla)
Lineage: Eukaryota; Metazoa; Chordata; Mammalia; Rodentia; Chinchillidae
Exons: 2
Source: RefSeq, a predicted model, not a curated record
UUGACGCAGGCGCAGUUUGGGGAGGGUGUGGCAGGCGCGCGCGAAGGUGCGCAGCAGCUCGGAGACCCUGCUGUAAGCCGGAAGCGAGAUGUGAACUCCGCUCUGCGCGUGUGCCCCUUCCUGUUUUCUCAUUACCUGAAGAAAAGGGGAGGACGGCCUGGAGUUCAGAUUGCAGAGGAGGUAAUGUUCCCACGACUGGUGCUGUAGAAAUAAAGCUGCGCCUUUCAAGAUGAAGGAGAAUAUUGAUCUUGAGGUUAUAAAAGCCCUACUGAUUUUGGAGAUGUUUAAAAGAUGCGACCUAAGGAGAGAGAGCCCAAGCAAGCGGAGCCCGGCGGAAUUCCUCCGGUAGAGGAAGAAGAGAUAAAACUGGAAUCCUGGGGCGGCAAUGCUGUGUGCAGAGUUCAGGAGAAAGGAGACCGCUGAUCAGAGAGAAAAGUCGGAGUUCUGCAGGGCUUUCUGUUUUUAUUUUUGUUUUUGGAUAUUUAGCUAAGGGACUUUGAGAAAAUUUCCCACAUGAAAACUUAAUCAAUGGGCAUUGGGUGUUCUACUCUGAGUCUUGCUGUGGUACUGACAAUUAGCCCUGGGCUGACAGCUGCUUUAGUGCCAUCUAAAUUCUUAAAAACAAGAUCCACAAGGAUCAGACUUAAGGAGUCACUGAAAAAGGUGACAGACCAAAUUCAUAGAGAUUUUUUAAAAAUCACAGACUUGCAAAAUACAAUUUGUAGUAGCAGUCUUUCAGUAAAUACAAAGGUCGCUUAAAUGAAAAAAGGAGAAAAAUGAGAUGCUGAUGAGAACUGAAAUAAGUACUGGAAUCUACAGACAAGGACAUUAAACAGUUGUACCUAUAUCCCAUAUGUUGAAAAAGAUAAACAACACUAUAACGAGAAAGAUCAUCCGUAGUUAUAAGGAUGUGGAAAAAGGAAUACUCAUGCUACUGGUGGGAUCUGUAAAAUGCUACAUAUACUUUAGGAAAUAUUGUUAAACUUAGCAUAUUAGCCACAAUUUCACUGCUGGAUAUAUACCCAAAAUCACUGAAAACAGCCCUCAAAAACUGUACCAAGUGCCAUUAGCAGCAUUAUUCACAAGAGCUAAAGGUAGAACCAACCACAGUACUGAAGUACUAUGAAAAUGUACUUCAGUGGAGUAAUAGUCAACAUAUGAAUAACUGCAGAAAUGAUCUCUCAGGACACAACAUGCAAAACCUUUGGUACAGCUGUGUAGUGGCGGGAAACAGCAGCACGUCAAUUGAAUUGGUGUAAAACAGUAUGACAGUCUACAUUUUCUCAAGGAAUGGCAUAUGUGGAGAUAUGCGUCAUUGAUUGAACUUUCAGCAACUGAAAACUCAACACAGCUUUCAUCUAUGAGCAGCAGGACACACACUUUUGGUUUUCCAAGUAUUUUCACACUUCUAGAGAAAUCAGCUCACUGGCUAUUAUCAUUGACCAUCAAGGACAAAUAUGCCAUGGCUAAUGUCCAUCCAACUGUUAAUGCAGCCUGUGCUUUUGUUGGACCUUCUGUUCCCAGUCUAAGGGAUUUUUCAUCAAAUUAAUACACUCUGCCUUGUUGGUAGGCAAAAUAAGUCAGUUUAGGAACCAUUAACAUCUAAACUUUUAUGCAAGAAGUCAGUAGGUAUACACUGCGAGCGCGUAUUUUUACUUUCUUGGCCCAAAUUCACUAAUGUAGAGUAUUUAAUAUAGAGUAUUAAAAACAUUUUGACAUUGAAAAUAAAAUUGUCAACAAAAGAAACUAUAUAAAUGUAUGAUCCCAAUACUUCUAUGCCAAUAGCAUAAAUACAUUUUAUACUUACAUAUGCAAAUUCUAUAGGCAUAGAUGCAUACGCUACCCUUAACAGAUGUAAGGUGUGCUGCUUGAAUAUAUAUGGCAAUGUAAUUGCUGUUUUUCAAAUGUAAGAAGGAAAACUACUCAAGUUAGUAGGAGAACUGUGUAUAGCCCCUUUUCCCAAGUAUAAUUUGAGUUUCUAUGACUCUUAAUUAUGAUAUGUCCACUUGAUUGGAGUAAGAAGUACUUAGCAAAUUAGUAAAACACAAUUUUGAGUGACUGUAGGUGAUUAAUAUGUACACCAGCAAACCAGCAGCCAAAGAUCCACCACGACUGUGGGUGGCACCACUCAAUGGGCUUGUAGCAGGGACUGAAUUAAAAACGAAAGGAAAAGGAAGUGUGCACACAUGGAAGAACACCGGGCUUUUUCUUGGAAGGUGUGUCCUUUGCUGCCAUCAUCUUUGGACCUCAGUCUCCAGGUCUGCAGUCUCUUCAGCCUUCAAAUACUUUCCUGUAAAAGAAACCCUGCAGUGAGCUCCAAGCCUUUGCCUUGGACUGCGUCUUUCAUCCUUCCUAUUCUGUGACUUCCACCUUCUUGUCUGUGCAGUUAUGAUAUCCUUUGAUUCUCUAGCACACAACUAGUCAUGCAAACUCUCCCACCUCUGAUGCUGUAAACCUACUUAGUAAACAACCUCAUGCAAUGAAA